CAAAAACUAGGAUGACCCUUCAGAGUAACAUAUGACCCUUUUGAAGAAUGAAAAGCGUUCGCUAACACCCCACAGGAUAAGAUCUUUUUUAAAUCAGCAGCAAGGCAAUGCAGAACACCACUCAAGUAAGGUAUUUACUUCGCUCUUCCUUCCUCUUCUUCUUCUUCUCUUUCGAUUUAUCCUUGGAUUUGUGCUUCUUCGAGCUAGCAGCCUUAACUUUUUUUGAUUUCUUCCUGUCAUAGUCAAGCUCCUCUUUGGAAGAAUCAUAUAACUUCCGUGAAGGCUUCUCUGGUCCAUACACACGGCGUUCUUGUACACCGGGGCUCACUAGCAGCUCGUCCCUGGAGUCUGAAUCACGUGGAAGAUAUGGACCCGCUUCAUCCAUCCUUG
RNAcentral lists this long non-coding RNA (390 nucleotides) under Prunus persica (peach). Its description in RNAcentral is "long non-coding RNA (PPER_LNC008403)". Lineage: Eukaryota; Viridiplantae; Streptophyta; Magnoliopsida; Rosales; Rosaceae. The record is from RNAcentral.